ACCUCCCGUACUUAUCCCACCUCCCCUACUUAGCACUAACUUCCUCUCCCUGGAAAAAAAAUCCAACCUCCCCGUAGGCGCACCUCCACCCAGUUUCUCCUAUGCGCAAUCUCUGUCGUCCCCUCCCCUGAUUCCCCUCUCACCCGAGCUCCAUGACCAUGACGCCGCGUGGCACCACCGAUUUGGGCAUGCUCUGGCGCUCUCCCGCGAUUAUUCUCACCAUCCCGGCUGCCCCUCAGUCCUCUCCUACGAUCCUCCGCCACUGCGACGACCUCCGUGGUCCUGCACAUGCCGCUGCAGGAACCCUAGCCGCCAUGGGUCGCUGGUGCGACUCCUGCGUUGGCCCUCUACCCUGCAUCUCCGUAUCCGUCGCUGCCGGCCCAGGCUCGAUAGUGCUGCUCCGCCUCGGCUACCUUCCCUUCGACAUCGACGUUUUAGUAAGGCACUUCGCUCCUCUACUCGUGCCCUCUCUGGUGCUUUGUGGCGACAUGACCUUCGUGCCAUAGUCAAUUCUUUACCAAAGUCAUGAUUGUGAUCUACGCUACCUAGUGUUAGCCGUUGUGGUGGAUAACACCCCACUACGGUCAGUGACCUUGCCUGAGGCUAAACAAAUUCAGUGCACGAUUUUCUAGGUAUUUCAGUUUCGUGCUUGUAUCUCAAUAAUGUGCUAUGCAAUUCUGUACAUGCCAGCCAGUCGUUUCCAGUUGGGAUAAUCUAUUGUGAUGUAUUGUUGAGUGAUUCACCCCUUGUCCAUAUGUGGUAAUUCCGGAAGAAUGCAUGCAUCCUUUUUUUCUCAGUAGUUCUUUCUUGCUGCUAUGUGCGUGGAUGAAUCCUUAACAAUAUCCCUGUCACACAUUGUGUAAUACCUUAGGAAUAAGUCUCUGAUGCCCGUCCUAAUAUCCCUCUUGACUGUAUAUAUAAUCCUUAAUUUCAUUUUCCCUUGCAGGUUCUAAAACAGACUAUUUUCAGCCAACAUGUGUGUGUGUGUGUAGUGGUAGUAGUUCGAUCUAUUGUGUCGAUGAACAUCAAGGCUACACGAUGGUUUGCUUGAAGAAUGGUGUGGAGGCAGGACUGCAAAAUUAACUAGCGACCACAAGUCAUUGCAGCUUUUCUCGUCAUGCCCACAUGUUGUGGAGCUGCCGACCUGCCCAAGCCGCCCUCGAUCAGUGCCAACUCCGCGAGAGAAAACUAUGUAAGAACUUCAGUGCUCGAGUCAGAAGUAAAUUCCCAAUCUACAUUACUACUUAUGCUAUUUUGAUGCAAUGCUAUGCUUGAUAUCUUAUGAAACUCCUUAUAGAUUUUAUGCUGAUAUAAAUAUUGUACUAAACUGAUAUGUGCAAUUUAAUACGGAGUGCUAAGGGUCCUGUAGGUUGGAGAGACUAGUAUCCUAUUUUUUCAAGAUAGUUAGACUUCCUGUUCUAAAGUUUACUCUAUUACUUUUGUUCUAAAAUUUACCUUGUUUUACUAAAUUAUCUUGUUACUAAAUUUUUGCAUUGCUGUACUAAAAUUUGCCUUGCUAUUGUUGUACUAAAAAUGUAACCAUUGAGUAGGAAGGAAGAGAUCAAGGGAGCAAAUAUAAUGAGGAAGGAGCGCUCAGAAGAAGUUAACUCAAAAUCCACUUAAGAUGUGACCUUCACAUAAUUCACAAAUGAUAACCAGUACAUUAUUCAUGAUAGAAUUGCACCAGACACAUGACAUGCAUUUGUAUGACUGUACAUAGUAUAUUGUACUUGAUGCUUAUAUUGUUCCUUUUUAAUUUGAUGCCUAUAUUGUUCCUUUUUAACUUGAUGCUUAUAUUGUUUCUUAGAACAUAAAGUAUUUUUAAAUUGUUGAAACAUUGCAUCUAUUUGUUUAGGAGAACUGCUGAUCUCUGUGUGAAAACGAAGGUUGUGUGGUAUGUCAGCACAUUUUUUUUCAAAGGAAGUACCUCAUAUCUUACAUACUGUAUGUUUGCUUCAAGAUUUACUAGAACUCAAUUGACAUCUAGCAGGUUUCUUCAUAAGAAAACAAGGAUCGGAAGUGUGUGAGAUGUAGAUUGCUUAGAAUGUUACUAAUGUGAUGGCCUUCAACAUUUAUUGCCGAGAUAAAUGGUUGAUGCAUGGCUCAGAUGUUGAUUGCAAGGCAGAUAAUGGGGAUAAUUAGAGUGUCAUUUUCAGUACGAUGUUUCAAACAUUAUAGUUGAUUCGAAGGUCGAGAAGUUUGCUACUAGUAGAUAGCUUCACAUCUUGUAAUGUUUGGAUCGUGUUCAGUGUAAUGCAACAUAGUUGAUUUAAUAUAUGAGAUCUUUCCGCUUA
This is a non-coding RNA of Aegilops tauschii subsp. strangulata, 2294 nucleotides long. The record is from RefSeq and is a predicted model, not a curated record. Lineage: Eukaryota; Viridiplantae; Streptophyta; Magnoliopsida; Poales; Poaceae.